Molecule: ribosomal RNA, 332 nt
Filed under: uncultured bacterium
Lineage: Bacteria
Description: bacterial SSU rRNA
Rfam family: Bacterial small subunit ribosomal RNA
Source: RNAcentral
CGCGUAGGCGGCCCGGUAAGUCCGCUGUAAAAGUCAGGGGCUCAACCCUUGAACGCCGGUGGAUACUGCCGGGCUAGAGUCCGGAAGAGGCGAGUGGAAUUCCUGGUGUAGCGGUGGAAUGCGCAGAUAUCAGGAGGAACACCAAUAGCGAAGGCAGCUCGCUGGGACGGUACUGACGCUCAGGCGCGAAAGCGUGGGGAGCAAACAGGAUUAGAUACCCUGGUAGUCCACGCCGUAAACGAUGGGCACUAGGUGUGGGAGGUGUCGACUCCUCCCGUGCCGUCGCUAACGCACUAAGUGCCCCGCCUGGGGAGUACGGCCGCAAGGCUAAA